This 597-nucleotide ribosomal RNA is filed under the name Actinomycetales bacterium HP89. RNAcentral's name for it is "bacterial SSU rRNA". It matches the Rfam family "Bacterial small subunit ribosomal RNA", at positions 60 to 675 of the family's 1533-position model. Lineage: Bacteria; Bacillati; Actinomycetota; Actinomycetes; Actinomycetales. The record is from RNAcentral.
AGUCGAGCGGAAGGCCCUUCGGGGUACUCGAGCGGCGAACGGGUGAGUAACACGUGAGUAACCUGCCCCAGGCUUUGGGAUAACCCCGGGAAACCGGGGCUAAUACCGGAUAUGACCGGCUGCCGCAUGGUGGUUGGUGGAAAGUUUUUCGGCUUGGGAUGGACUCGCGGCCUAUCAGCUUGUUGGUGGGGUAAUGGCCUACCAAGGCGGCGACGGGUAGCCGGCCUGAGAGGGCGACCGGCCACACUGGGACUGAGACACGGCCCAGACUCCUACGGGAGGCAGCAGUGGGGAAUCUUGCACAAUGGGCGGAAGCCUGAUGCAGCGACGCCGCGUGAGGGAUGACGGCCUUCGGGUUGUAAACCUCUUUCAGCAGGGACGAAGCGUUUUGUGACGGUACCUGCAGAAGAAGCGCCGGCCAACUACGUGCCAGCAGCCGCGGUAAGACGUAGGGCGCAAGCGUUGUCCGGAUUUAUUGGGCGUAAAGAGCUCGUAGGCGGCUUGUCGCGUCGACUGUGAAAACCCGUGGCUCAACUGCGGGCUUGCAGUCGAUACGGGCAGGCUAGAGUUCGGUAGGGGAGACUGGAAUUCCUGGUG